Molecule: ribosomal RNA, 54 nt
Filed under: Sordaria macrospora
Lineage: Eukaryota; Fungi; Ascomycota; Sordariomycetes; Sordariales; Sordariaceae
Also listed under: 34 other names
Description: partial 28S ribosomal RNA
Source: RNAcentral
UUGACCUCGGAUCAGGUAGGAAUACCCGCUGAACUUAAGCAUAUCAAUAAGCGG